GAGAGCGGCGUACGGGUGCGGAACACGUGUGCAACCUGCCUUUAUCUGGGGGAUAGCCUUUCGAAAGGAAGAUUAAUACCCCAUAAUAUACUGGAUGGCAUCAUUCGGUAUUGAAAACUCCGGUGGAUAGAGAUGGGCACGCGCAAGAUUAGAUAGUUGGUGAGGUAACGGCUCACCAAGUCUACGAUCUUUAGGGGGCCUGAGAGGGUGAUCCCCCACACUGGUACUGAGACACGGACCAG
This 242-nucleotide ribosomal RNA is filed under the name uncultured bacterium. Its description in RNAcentral is "partial 16S ribosomal RNA". It matches the Rfam family "Bacterial small subunit ribosomal RNA", at positions 91 to 334 of the family's 1533-position model. The record is from RNAcentral.